Benincasa hispida (wax gourd) is the source of this 1139-nucleotide long non-coding RNA. RefSeq lists it as uncharacterized. The record is from RefSeq and is a predicted model, not a curated record. NCBI's taxonomy places the organism in Eukaryota, Viridiplantae, Streptophyta, Magnoliopsida, Cucurbitales, Cucurbitaceae.
AAGGGGUUAAAUGUCCUAGGAAAAAAAACUUCCCUCCUUCCUCAUCAACUCUCCCCCUCCCUAAGCAGAGCUUCGUUCCAUUUCUGUCCAACGCAUGCUAAGCAGAUCUGAGCUUCAUUCCAAUUUUGUUUGGCAUCGUGGAGGUUCGUUCCAAGUUUGUUUCACAUCUGUGAGCUUCGAGCUUUGUUACAGGUUCAUCUUAAGCAGAUAUGAGACAUUGAGCUUUGUGUCAGGUCCAUCGAGCUUUGAGCUCCUUCAAGUAGUGUUGUUUGAGCUUUGUUCCAACGUCGUUGAAGCAAAUCUAAGAGAGGCAACGAUUUCUCAUUUGCACAUUUGGGUUUUUCUUUGGCUAUCUUGUUAAUGGUGUUUUUUAGCCUACCGCCGCCGCUGGAGCAGAAGAUGGAAUAGUUCCAAUUCCUAUGGCUGCAAUUAUCAGUUGGUUCUACUUGCACGUAUGGUUCUCUCCUGGAUAUUCUCAACACGCUAGCGUUAUUUGAUGUUAUGAUCUCCCUGCUCUACACUGACUUGACGAAUCCUUUAACUCUAGCUUCUAGUUUUUAGCAUUGGUUUAAUUUGCAGUCUGCAGGAUAUGUUCAAAAUGCUCAAAGCAGGAUAAAAGUAUGAGUGCAAGAUGUCAUAUUGGUGUUUGUUCUAUACAUUUACUACUCUUCACUGCAUUCAUUUGUGUCCUUUUACACGUUGUUGAAAUGAAUGCAAUUGUAGUGCCCAGUUCUAGCUGCUACGUUUUUUGCAAUAGUCAUAUUAUUGACUUUGUAUCCUACACAGUAUGGUAUACAUUUAAGUUUUGGUGUAUCUGAUAUUCUCUUGAAAUUAACCAUUUUGUUGAGAAUGAUAGCAAUUGGAGUACUUUGAUGAGUUUGAUAGCACCGAUCCAUAGCUAUUUUGCGAUCCCUUGAAAAUUAAGCGAAAGGUAAUUGUUCCUCUUGAGACUGGAUAUGGUCAAAAGAGAAUGAAUGAAAUCUCAGUUGACUUGCUUAAACAUGGCUUGCCUGACCCUUAGUUCUCACUCUCUAGACUUCAAAGCUCAAUAUAUAGAUUAAAUAAUGUACUUUGUCUAGACAUUACUUAUAAACAAUUUGUCACUUUUGUGUUUGUUGAAAGUUGAGUUUUGUAUACAA